Long non-coding RNA from Sebastes umbrosus (honeycomb rockfish), 232 nucleotides. RefSeq lists it as uncharacterized. The record is from RefSeq and is a predicted model, not a curated record. The transcript has 2 exons. NCBI's taxonomy places the organism in Eukaryota, Metazoa, Chordata, Actinopteri, Perciformes, Sebastidae.
AAAAAUAAACUUAAAAAUAAAACAUUGUUAAAAAUGUAAAAAUAAAAAAAAAAUAAAUAAAUAAAUGAAAUAAAAAAUAACUUCAACUGGAAUUUAAAAACGCGUUUUGCUGCUCUCCAACACAAAAGACAGGAACUGCAGUUAUUUCAUGAUGGUUACGGCUGUCAGUUGUGCCAACAACACAACAUUAAACUUAAAAAUAAAACAUUGUUAAAAAUGUAAAAAUGUAAAA